Molecule: ribosomal RNA, 555 nt
Filed under: Bifidobacterium pseudocatenulatum
Lineage: Bacteria; Bacillati; Actinomycetota; Actinomycetes; Bifidobacteriales; Bifidobacteriaceae
Description: bacterial SSU rRNA
Rfam family: Bacterial small subunit ribosomal RNA
Source: RNAcentral
UCUCCUGGAAAACGGGUGGUAAUGCCGGAUGCUCCGACUCCUCGCAUGGGGUGUCGGGAAAGAUUUCAUCGGUAUGGGAUGGGGUCGCGUCCUAUCAGGUAGUCGGCGGGGUAACGGCCCACCGAGCCUACGACGGGUAGCCGGCCUGAGAGGGCGACCGGCCACAUUGGGACUGAGAUACGGCCCAGACUCCUACGGGAGGCAGCAGUGGGGAAUAUUGCACAAUGGGCGCAAGCCUGAUGCAGCGACGCCGCGUGCGGGAUGACGGCCUUCGGGUUGUAAACCGCUUUUGAUCGGGAGCAAGCCUUCGGGUGAGUGUACCUUUCGAAUAAGCACCGGCUAACUACGUGCCAGCAGCCGCGGUAAUACGUAGGGUGCAAGCGUUAUCCGGAAUUAUUGGGCGUAAAGGGCUCGUAGGCGGUUCGUCGCGUCCGGUGUGAAAGUCCAUCGCUUAACGGUGGAUCUGCGCCGGGUACGGGCGGGCUGGAGUGCGGUAGGGGAGACUGGAAUUCCCGGUGUAACGGUGGAAUGUGUAGAUAUCGGGAAAGAACACCA